This 372-nucleotide long non-coding RNA is filed under the name Lathyrus oleraceus (garden pea). RNAcentral's name for it is "Pisum sativum (pea) long non-coding RNA (PSAT_LNC029147)". Lineage: Eukaryota; Viridiplantae; Streptophyta; Magnoliopsida; Fabales; Fabaceae. The record is from RNAcentral.
UGGCUAUACCUCUUCCUCACAACAAAACUAUCCCAACCUACUUGGUUGAGAAGAUACAUAACAUUGUCUCUUAAUCCUAAGGUAGUCAGGGUCAAUCCAUCGGGAUAUAUAGAAAGUGCCAUUUCCCUCUGUGCUAACAUGUCAAAACGGCGCCUCUGAUUUUCUCUCCUAAAUAUAGCCUCCAUAUUGUCAACAGGCUUCAUACUCCUAAGUUAGUGAUAAGCUAUCCUAAGCUAUGUUAUCCUGAAAGUAAACAAAGGUUAUACUAUUAGUAAAAGGUACCGCAUGGAAGUGUUAGAAUAGUUAGUAAUAGUAUUAAUAAUAAAGAAAAGAGAAAAAAACAUAGAAUAAAAAAAAAUGAAAACAACUAAA